Molecule: transfer RNA, 90 nt
Filed under: Rhodobacter sp. SGA-6-6
Lineage: Bacteria; Pseudomonadati; Pseudomonadota; Alphaproteobacteria; Rhodobacterales
Description: tRNA-Ser
Rfam family: tRNA
About the family: Transfer RNA (tRNA) molecules are approximately 80 nucleotides in length. Their secondary structure includes four short double-helical elements and three loops (D, anti-codon, and T loops).
Source: RNAcentral
GGAGGAGUGGCGGAGUGGUCUAUCGCACCGGUCUUGAAAACCGACGUGGGCGCAAGCCCACCGUGGGUUCGAAUCCCACCUCCUCCGCCA